This 437-nucleotide ribosomal RNA is filed under the name uncultured Oscillospiraceae bacterium. RNAcentral's name for it is "bacterial SSU rRNA". It matches the Rfam family "Bacterial small subunit ribosomal RNA", at positions 341 to 792 of the family's 1533-position model. Lineage: Bacteria; Bacillati; Bacillota; Clostridia; Eubacteriales; Oscillospiraceae. The record is from RNAcentral.
ACGGAAGGCAGCAGUGGGGAAUCUUCCGCAAUGGGCGCAAGCCUGACCCAGCAACGCCGCGUGAAGGAAGAAGGUCUUCGGAUUGUAAACUUCUUUUAUAAGGGACGAAGGAAGUGACGGUACCUUAUGAAUAAGCCACGGCUAACUACGUGCCAGCAGCCGCGGUAAUACGUAGGUGGCAAGCGUUAUCCGGAUUUACUGGGUGUAAAGGGCGCGUAGGCGGGAAGGCAAGUCAGGUGUGAAAUCUAUGGGCUUAACCCAUAAACUGCACUUGAAACUGUCUUUCUUGAGUGCUGGAGAGGUAGACGGAAUUCCUUGUGUAGCGGUGAAAUGCGUAGAUAUAAGGAAGAACACCAGUGGCGAAGGCGGUCUACUGGACAGUAACUGACGCUGAGGCGCGGAAGCGUGGGGAGCAAACAGGAUUAGAUACCCUGGUA